UCUCUCUACUCUUUAAUUCAUUGUUCUCUCUCUACUCUGCUCCUUGAAACGUCUAGUUUGAGGAAAAUGAAAAUGCACAUUCGCCGGAUUCUCUCUCUAUCUCCUCUGCUUUCACAGUCGCCCGCUCUUCUCUCUCUUCUCUCUCUCUGUGUGAGUGGUGUGUAGAUCAUAUCAGAGCAAUUAUUAGUGCUUUCCUUUCUCCGGCAGUGCCGUUGACGGAAGCUAAGCCAGCUUUUGAAGCUCCCGAAUCAUAGAGGAGAAGGGAUGAUGAUGUCCGUCGAAGGUCCUGCUGCCGGAGGAUCUUCAAUUAGAAGCAUACUUCCCUUCCCCUAAAGAUGCCCUCAGGACGAGCAGAGCACAAAUGGCCGGGAAAUGGCGGUCGCUACGUGAGGUGAGGUGAGGUAUUGUACGAGAGAUUGCAUCCAUUCGAUCAGUUGGAGGAGGAUAUAUAAAAUAUUCUGAGAGGUUUCUCAUUCCGCCUAUUUGAAAAGGACAUGUGUCUCCAUCUAGUCGAGACACAAAGAGGUUAUGAGCUAGAAGACGAUCUCGGUCUUAUUUGUUAGAAGUCUAUCGGGAGACUUGUGGAAAUCAUCUACGUCAUCAAAGCAAUGGUUGAAGGAAGCUCACGACCUCGCCUCUUGGGAGAGGGACGACGACUUGACGAUAACAGAGGUGCUUUCGUGGGAGGGAAAGACCCUUGAGCUGUCGAGAAAUAAGGUCCCCACGCGAAGAACACAAGAAGCGAAGAACGGCCUAGGCUGCCACUCCCGAUAAGGUUGUCCCAGACAUUGAUGGUCCAACAGAGGAGACAAAAGGAGAUCUUAUUAACUGUCUCGAUUUUAGGGUUUUGUCAAAUUGAAAUAUGAGGUGACAUUUGCUUUGAUUUCUUGCUCGAGGUUCGUCAAAUAGAAAUCUAAGACUUACCAUGGCCCGAGAACUAUUACCAUGAGUUGUAAUUGGCUUGUCGUGGGUAGGACGACCAUGGAAGUGAAGUGAUCAGUUAGAGAAGAGAGAAGAAGGGUAUGAAGAUAAAGAUGACGAUGAAUAGUGCUUUGAGAGAAAGGGUAGGGCAAAUUUGAAAAAAUUUAAAAAAUUUGGGUCUUUUUGAAAUUUUGAAAAGGUUGUAGUGAAGUUGAACGAAAUGUAACUUUGUUACCAAACAGGCUUUAAGCCUCAUGGUCAUGAAGUCUCGUGGAAAUAAAAGCAUAUAGGGAGUUGUAGUGAAGUGACUGAGGCUAAAGAUUUUCUUAAGGCAAUUAAGGAACAAUUUGCCAAAAUAGAUAAGGCCUUGGCAAGUACCCUAAUAAAGAGGCUGACUAGCAAGAACUUCGACAAUUCAAAGGGCGUGCAUGUGCACAUUACGGAAAUGAGAGACUUGGCAGCUCAACUCAAAACUCUUGAGAUUGAUAUCUUCGAGGCAUUUUUGGUUCGCUUCAUUCUCAACUCCUUACUAGCUAAGUAUGGGCCUUUUAAAAUCUCCUACAACGAACAUAAGGAGGAGUGGUCCAUUACAGAACUCUUGACCAUGUGUGUCCAAGAGGAGGAGAUCAUGAAGCAGGACAAGCCCGAAGUUGCCCAUGAAGGAUGGGCAUGUAAAGAAAGAUUACCCUAAAUAUAAGAAGUGGCUUGAAAAGAAAGGGCUUUCCCAACCUAAGGAAUCCGACGGAAAAUGAGAGGUUCGUCUAUUCAAGGAAUAAGAGAUGCUCUCAAGUCGUUUGAGUUGGGAUAUUUAAGAUAAUUAUGUCUUCGGGGUAUGCUUCACAUUUCAAUAAUGUUUUUUACAUUCUAGACUAGUUGUAUUAAAUUACGACCAUGUUUGGCACUUAAACAAUUUUUUACUCAACUCUAUUUAUGGUAGCUAAAGACAAAUGCAAGCUAGCUUUUUCUUCGAUGGUGGGGUCAAUAAGGUAGAAAAGAGGGCACGGCGUGCACUACCCUGCAUGGUAGGUCGAAUUUUUUUUCUUUGUCCUUUUCUUUUUUGAUGCCUUCUUACUAUUGUCGAAUUUGUAUUUGCUAACCUCAUGUGCUUCCUGAUGGUGAGAUUUUGGUUAUUUUUUCCUC
Molecule: non-coding RNA, 2061 nt
Organism: Punica granatum (pomegranate)
Lineage: Eukaryota; Viridiplantae; Streptophyta; Magnoliopsida; Myrtales; Lythraceae
Source: RefSeq, a predicted model, not a curated record